CAGCAGCAGCCACGGGAAUACGAAGGGGGCUAGCGUUGCUCGGAAUGACUGGGCGUAAAGGGCGCGUAGGCGGCGAUCAAAGUCAGGCGUGAAAUUCCUGGGCUCAACCUGGGGGCUGCGCUUGAUACUUGGUUGCUUGAGUGGGGAAGAGGGUCGUGGAAUUCCCAGUGUAGAGGUGAAAUUCGUAGAUAUUCGGAAGAACACCAGUGGCGAAGGCGACUCACUGGCCCGUUACUGACGCUGAGGCGCGAAAGCGUGGGGAGCAAACAGGAUUAGAUACCCCAGUAGUCCCUGUCUCUUAUAC
Molecule: ribosomal RNA, 304 nt
Filed under: uncultured bacterium
Lineage: Bacteria
Description: partial 16S ribosomal RNA
Rfam family: Bacterial small subunit ribosomal RNA
Source: RNAcentral